Molecule: long non-coding RNA, 418 nt
Filed under: Homo sapiens (human)
Lineage: Eukaryota; Metazoa; Chordata; Mammalia; Primates; Hominidae
Description: HSALNT0199674
Source: RNAcentral
GGGAUCUCAAGGGCAAAGAUGUGUUAAAACAUAACCAAACACUCCAGGACCUUGGGAAAGAAAUCUGUAUCAGACAUGUGGGCUUCAUUAAGGGAAAUGCCUUCAGAAGAUUAUUUUUCCAUGUUAUGAGAAAAAAUCUCAACAACCACAGCAGAUGUUCCAGUGCCCAGGUGACCUAGAAGCUUCAUGUGGAGGUGAUGGAACUUCAGUAGGCCUGGAAGUGAUGCAGUAUCUUCUGCCCUCAAUGGCCUAAGAAGCCAAUUAACCAUUCCAAGCAAUAUCUAGGUGUAAGUGCAGUGAAAGUUCAUAAACUGAACACAGCAACAACAAUUAGGACAGAUCUGCUGGUCGUCAGUCCUGCCAUCCUUAAGUGAGGGACCGAUAUUUCAAUCAUCAUUCCCUUUCUUUUCAAUGACAG